AAGUCGUAACAAGGUAACCGUAGGUGAACCUGCGGUUGGAUCAUUACUGAUAUGACUCGCAAGAGUCUCAACCCAUGUGAACGAUGAAUGUAUCUGGGAGAUGCGUGAUGUGGAGCAAGGUGGCAUUCGUGACAUUUUGUGACACGUGAUUCUCUCCCAACCAAUUAAACACUAUUAUUGUCUGAUCUAAAUAUAAAAGAAACAACUUUUGACAACGGAUCUCUUGGCUCUC
This 232-nucleotide unclassified non-coding RNA is filed under the name fungal sp. RNAcentral's name for it is "partial internal transcribed spacer region". The stretch from base 1 to 46 matches the Rfam family "Eukaryotic small subunit ribosomal RNA", at positions 1786 to 1831 of the family's 1831-position model. The record is from RNAcentral. Lineage: Eukaryota; Fungi.